CUUGACCAAGUAUAAGAGGUCCAGCCUGCCCAGUGAUAAAAUUCAACGGCCGCGGUACCCUAACCGUGCGAAGGUAGCAUAAUCACUUGUUCUCUAAAUAGGGACUAGUAUCAACGGCACCACGAGGGCUGUACUGUCUCCUUUCUCCCAUCAGUGAAACUGAUCUCCCCGUGAAAAAGCGGGGAUUGUUAUAUAAGACGAGAAGACCCCAUGGAGCUUUAAACUCAUCACCCACUUCCUCACUUCCAUACCCAACUAUAUAAGGAACCUGUGUGACAGUUUUGGGUUGGGGGGACCACGGAGUACAAUUUAACCUCCAUGACAAAUAGGCUACGCCCUUAUCUACGAACUACAACUCUAAGAAUCAUAAGCUGAUGUUUAAUGACCCGAUAAUUCGAUCAACGAACCA
Molecule: ribosomal RNA, 409 nt
Filed under: Nidirana chapaensis (glandular-sided frog)
Lineage: Eukaryota; Metazoa; Chordata; Amphibia; Anura; Ranidae
Description: partial 16S ribosomal RNA
Rfam family: Bacterial large subunit ribosomal RNA
Source: RNAcentral